AGUCACUGACAUUAGAUACCCGCGUAGUCCCAGCCGUAAACAAUGUGCGUUAGGUGUGUCGGUAACCACGCGUUACUGAUGCGCCGAAGAGAAAUCGUGAAACGCACCACCUGGGAAGUACGGUCGCAAGGCUGAAACUUAAAGGAAUUGGCGGGGGAGCACCACAACAGGUGGAGCCUGCGGUUUUAAUUGGAUUCAACGCCGGACAUCUCACCGGAUAAGACAGCUGAAUGAUUGUCAAUCUGAAGGUUUUACAUGACUAGCUG
RNAcentral lists this ribosomal RNA (266 nucleotides) under uncultured archaeon. Its description in RNAcentral is "partial 16S ribosomal RNA". It matches the Rfam family "Archaeal small subunit ribosomal RNA", at positions 716 to 982 of the family's 1478-position model. The record is from RNAcentral.